CACAGUAAGAGGAUGCCAUCUAUAAAUCAGAAAGCAGAGUCUCACCAGAUACUGAAUUUGCCAGUGCCCUGAUCAUGGACCCUCCAGCCUUCAGAAUUGCAACAGACACCUGAGCCAUGUACUCCUCCUGAUGGAUCGCAGGAGCAUAAGAUGCACUUCUCACAAAACUGGGACAACUAACUGUUUAUCCAACAUCUGCUGGCUAAAUAAAGACAUGAUCUUCACCUUUUGGGAUUGUUAAUUUAAAAUGGUUCCAUAAGAGCAAUGCAAAGACAGAGAUAUUUGGCAGCACUGCAGCUGGUGAUUUAUAUGGCUCUUCACAAGGUGUUAUUUUGGGGUAUCAAGGUAUGGAUGCUUAAAUCAGCUGCAGGAAGUAAGAAAGAAGAAAAAAGGAGUGAUAAAGAUAAAAAAAAAUCAACCUUGGUCCUUCCACCAAGACCCAUUAAUUUCCAUAUCAUCAUCUGCAUAAGAGGGAAGAUUCCUACAUGACCAGGUUACUGCAAGGAUGUGAAUUUUGAAUAUUAAAAUAUUAUACACAAUUGGAAAUAA
This 549-nucleotide long non-coding RNA is filed under the name Homo sapiens (human). Its description in RNAcentral is "long intergenic non-protein coding RNA 1884". The record is from RNAcentral. Lineage: Eukaryota; Metazoa; Chordata; Mammalia; Primates; Hominidae.